GACGAACGCUGGCGGCGUGCCUAAUACAUGCAAGUCGAACGAGAGCGACCGGUGCUUGCACUGGUCAAUCUAGUGGCGAACGGGUGAGUAACACGUGGUUACCUGGCCCUUCGGAGGGGAUUACCAUUCGGAAAGGGAUCCAAAAACCGCAUAGGUCUUCGAACCGCAUGUUUUGAAGAGAAAAAGAGGCGCAGGCUCCUCCUGUGGAAUGGACCCGCGUUGCAUUAGCUAGUUGGUGAGGUAACGGCUCACCAAGCCCGUGAUGCAUAGCCGACCUGAGAGGGUGAUCGGCCACAUUGGGACUGAGACACGGCCCAAACUCCUACGGGAGGCAGCAGUAGGGAAUCUUCCGCAAUGGACGCAAGUCUGACGGAGCAACGCCGCGUGAGUGAAGAAGGUUUUCGGAUCGUAAAACUCUGUUGUUAGAGAAGAAUAAGUGCUAGAGUAACUGUUAGCGCCUUGACGGUAUCUAACCAGAAAGCCACGGCUAACUACGUG
This 498-nucleotide ribosomal RNA is filed under the name uncultured bacterium. RNAcentral describes it as "partial 16S ribosomal RNA". It matches the Rfam family "Bacterial small subunit ribosomal RNA", at positions 28 to 507 of the family's 1533-position model. The record is from RNAcentral.